GCUUCAUUUGAAGGGAAGCAUUUUUAAGGUUAGACUUGACAACAGAGAAGAAUGCAGAUUUGUGACUGUGACCGUAAGUGAAAUCACAGAGAUAGGUGUUGAGAAAUGUAGUGAGUGGCAUGGCCCCUGCACAAGGAUAACACGCAAAUUCGUGAAGCAUUCCAUAUAAAA
Molecule: small nuclear RNA, 171 nt
Filed under: Accipiter nisus (Eurasian sparrowhawk)
Lineage: Eukaryota; Metazoa; Chordata; Aves; Accipitriformes; Accipitridae
Source: RNAcentral